This 254-nucleotide ribosomal RNA is filed under the name uncultured bacterium. Its description in RNAcentral is "partial 16S ribosomal RNA". It matches the Rfam family "Bacterial small subunit ribosomal RNA", at positions 524 to 776 of the family's 1533-position model. The record is from RNAcentral.
UACGAAGGGGGCUAGCGUUGCUCGGAAUCACUGGGCGUAAAGCGCAUGUAGGCGGACUUUUAAGUCGGAGGUGAAAUCCUGGAGCUCAACUCCAGAACUGCCUUCGAUACUGAGAGUCUUCGAGUUCGGGAGAGGUGAGUGGAACUGCGAGUGUAGAGGUGAAAUUCGUAGAUAUUCGCAAGAACACCAGUGGCGAAGGCGGCUCACUGGCCCGAUACUGACGCUGAGGUGCGAAAGCGUGGGGAGCAAACAGG